GCUAUCAGCCAAAGCACAUUGAAUACGCUGGUUCUCGUCCGAUCACCGAAGCUAGCCAAUGUUUACCUGAUUAGUACUUUGAAGGGACAUCGCCGAAAAACACCGGGUGUUGCUAGCA
RNAcentral lists this ribosomal RNA (118 nucleotides) under Tropilaelaps mercedesae. The record is from RNAcentral. Lineage: Eukaryota; Metazoa; Arthropoda; Arachnida; Mesostigmata; Laelapidae.